Long non-coding RNA from Gasterosteus aculeatus aculeatus (three-spined stickleback), 697 nucleotides. The record is from Ensembl. NCBI's taxonomy places the organism in Eukaryota, Metazoa, Chordata, Actinopteri, Perciformes, Gasterosteidae.
GCACAACAACGAUCAAUGCACAUUUAAACAGCGUCGGCACCGUGGAAUCCACGCCAGACGGAUGUGUGAGUACCUGGGUUUCCUCCACCACGAUGCUCACACAUAUACAUUCAACAACACAGGCCUCAACUGAAAGGCAGUCACAUCCACAGACGGCGAGCUUGCAGAACGCGGCAGAAGGCCGCGCGGAGGUUGAGGCUGCAGUCAGAAAUAGGCAGCGACUUCUCAGAAGAGGCUCCCGGUAGUCGCAGUAUGACUGGAGAGCCGAGGCAACUCACCGGCUGCGCCUCUUGCUCACGUCGCAUCCAGUGACGCGCGAGGCCGUUCCCGCAAGCGGAAUCAGUUUGAGAGAAGUCUGUUAGGUGCACCUGCGAUAGUGCCUCUGAAUGCUUGUGGUUGGUUUUGUUUGAGUCGCGGCCAACUGACAAAUGUCAAGUCGAGCCACUUUUUGUUGUUGGGCGAUUACAAAAAUCACCGUGAGCACGGUUCUCUUUGCAUGACACAAAUAUCUGAAGUCCGGCUUCCUUCUAGGUCCCAAUCUGCGUUUGCCUCUUUUCAUUAUUAACGUUUGACCCUCGCAUAUCUGUGUUGAGAUUCCGCUCCCAGAGGUGCAUGUGGGGAGCCGAAUGCCCCAAAAAAAAAGCUUUCAGUGAUUGUGGUCGACUGCGAAGCGAAGCGACUGCCGGGUUUGGCUUUG